UGAUGCGAUCAUACCAGCACUAAAGCACCGGAUCCCAUCAGAACUCCGAAGUUAAGCGUGCUUGGGCGAGAGUAGUACUAGGAUGGGUGACCUCCGAAGUUAAGCGUGCUUGGG
RNAcentral lists this ribosomal RNA (114 nucleotides) under Hordeum capense. Lineage: Eukaryota; Viridiplantae; Streptophyta; Magnoliopsida; Poales; Poaceae. The record is from RNAcentral.